CCUACGGUAGGCACCAGUCGAGAAUCAUUCACAAUGGGGGAAACCCUGAUGGUGCGACGCCGCGUGGGGGAAUGAAGGUCUUCGGAUUGUAAACCCCUGUCAUGUGGGAGCAAAUUAAAAAGAUAGUACCACAAGAGGAAGAGACGGCUAACUCUGUGCCAGCAGCCGCGGUAAUACAGAGGUCUCAAGCGUUGUUCGGAAUCACUGGGCGUAAAGCGUGCGUAGGCUGUUUCGUAAGUCGUGUGUGAAAGGCGCGGGCUCAACCCGCGGACGGCACAUGAUACUGCGAGACUAGAGUAAUGGAGGGGGAACCGGAAUUCUCGGUGUAGCAGUGAAAUGCGUAGAUAUCGAGAGGAACACUCGUGGCGAAGGCGGGUUCCUGGACAUUAACUGACGCUGAGGCACGAAGGCCAGGGGAGCGAAAGGGAUUAGAUACCCUAGUAGUC
RNAcentral lists this ribosomal RNA (446 nucleotides) under uncultured bacterium. RNAcentral's name for it is "partial 16S ribosomal RNA". It matches the Rfam family "Bacterial small subunit ribosomal RNA", at positions 338 to 795 of the family's 1533-position model. The record is from RNAcentral.